This 1006-nucleotide ribosomal RNA is filed under the name Triticum aestivum (bread wheat). RNAcentral describes it as "partial small subunit ribosomal RNA". Lineage: Eukaryota; Viridiplantae; Streptophyta; Magnoliopsida; Poales; Poaceae. The record is from RNAcentral.
GGUGACGGGAGAGUAGGAAUAGAGUAGGAGAACGUAAAGAGAAAGAGGAAAAAAAAGGUAACGGUCAGUACCCUCGCCAUCGGGGCUGGAACGAGUAGAGAAAGGAGAGAGAUGAGGAGGGAGGGGAUGGAGGGCUCGAUGUCUCCCGAUAACUCUCGCGCGCCAGUUGUGGGAAGUCUCUCGACGACGUUUUCCCCUUAACGCGUCGGUCCUACGUGAGCAGUGGUAACCAGCGGGUCCACUCGAGCAGCGGUACCGCACGCGCAGGAGCAGGAGCUUACGACGGUGUUGUGAACUCUGACGACGGGAGAAAAAGACCCAUUCACUGCCGCCCGCACCCCACGACGUUCGUCGCUUCGGGUCACAAAAGUCCAUCCGCUGCUGCCCGAUGUUCACCCCGCCGUGGCGGUUGGUGGAUACGCUAAAGCGGCCGCUUCUACGACGAUGGGGCCGCACCGCCUCGACGUUGGCAUCAAGCCGCCUCGAUGUUGGCAUACGACCACCUCAUCGUUGGUCGUUCUGUUUACGGUCUUGGCCGCCGUCGGCACAACACUACCGGUGCUGCCACCAGGUAUUAACGACCUCGGUCGUUUUUUUUAACGACCUUCGCCACUAAAAAAACGAUGCUGGCAUGAUUGCUACUAAGUAUCAAAACGACCUUUGCAAUUCAUGAAAACGACCUUGGGAAAAGAAAAAAAAAACAACGUUCGUAUUAAAGAAGAACAAUAGUGGCAAAACUAAGAACCACCUUGUUUGUAGGUAAUGAAAACAAUGGUACCAGAACCUAAAAACAACCUUGGUCUCAUAAAAAGACGAUGUUGAUAAGAAAUCAAAGUAACCUUGUUUGUGUGAAAAAAACAAACGCUAAAACUGCUACCGCUCGUACAGCCACCACUCACAACUGCCGCUCGCUACCCCCGGCAGCGGUGGCCUCCACGUUAGCGUCCGGUAUCGACAACAUACGCACCUCAGUCGCUGUUCACGCCCUCCGUUGCUCACGCCGCUG